GCAUAUCAAAAAGCGGAGGAAAAGAAACCAACAGGGAUUGCCUUAGUAACGGCGAGUGAAGCGGCAAAAGCUCAAAUUUGAAAUCUGGCACCUUCGGUGUCCGAGUUGUAAUUUGAAGAAGGUAACUUUGGAGUCAGCUCUUGUCUAUGUUCCUUGGAACAGGACGUCACAGAGGGUGAGAAUCCCGUGCGAUGAGAUGUCUGAUUCUAUGUAAAGUGCUUUCGAAGAGUCGAGUUGUUUGGGAAUGCAGCUCUAAGUGGGUGGUAAAUUCCAUCUAAAGCUAAAUAUUGGCGAGAGACCGAUAGCGAACAAGUACAGUGAUGGAAAGAUGAAAAGAACUUUGAAAAGAGAGUGAAAAAGUACGUGAAAUUGUUGAAAGGGAAGGGUUUGAGAUCAGACUUGGUAUUUUGUAUGUCUUGCUUUCGGGUGGGGCCUCUACAGUUUACUGGGCCAGCAUCGGUUUGGAUGGUAGGAUAAUGACAUUGGAAUGUGGCACCACUUCGGUGGUGUGUUAUAGACUUUGUUGAUACUGCCUGUCUAGACCGAGGACUGCGUCUUUGACUAGGAUGCUGGCAUAAUGAUCCUAAACCGCCCGUCUUGAAACACGGACCA
Molecule: ribosomal RNA, 612 nt
Filed under: Scheffersomyces stipitis
Lineage: Eukaryota; Fungi; Ascomycota; Pichiomycetes; Serinales; Debaryomycetaceae
Description: eukaryotic LSU rRNA
Rfam family: Eukaryotic large subunit ribosomal RNA
Source: RNAcentral